ACCAGCACAGCCAGAUCCUGCAGCUGGGAGAGGAGCCCCAGGCCCGGGAUACCCAAGUGUUCAUUCAGUGAUCAGAACAGAACACAGACAACUCACCAUGGAAUUUGUACUGGGCUGGAUUUUCCUUCUUGCUCUUUUAAAAGGUGUCCAGUGUGAGAUGCAGUUGGUGGAAUCUGGGGGAGACCUAGUGAAGCCUAGUGGGUCCCUGAGACUCUCCUGUGCAGCCUCUGGUUUCACCUUCAGCAGCUACUACAUGAACUGGUUUCGCAAGCCUCCAGGGAAGGGGCUGCAGUGGGUCGCAUAUAUUAGCUAUGAUGGAAGCAGCACAAGCUAUGCAGACUCUGUGAAGGGCCAAUUCACCAUCUCCAGAGACAACGGCAAGAACACGCUGUAUCUGCAGAUGAACAGCCUGAGAGCCAAGGACACGGCCAUGUAUUACUUGCAACAGACACAGUGAGGGGA
This is a non-coding RNA of Mustela lutreola (European mink), 462 nucleotides long. The record is from the annotation of a RefSeq genome assembly. NCBI's taxonomy places the organism in Eukaryota, Metazoa, Chordata, Mammalia, Carnivora, Mustelidae.